CAGUCGCCACGGUAAUACAGAGGGUGCAAGCGUUAAUCGGAAUUACUGGGCGUAAAGCGCGCGUAGGUGGUUUGUUAAGUUGGAUGUGAAAUCCCCGGGCUCAACCUGGGAACUGCAUCCAAAACUGGCAAGCUAGAGUAUGGUAGAGGGUGGUGGAAUUUCCUGUGUAGCGGUGAAAUGCGUAGAUAUAGGAAGGAACACCAGUGGCGAAGGCGACCACCUGGACUGAUACUGACACUGAGGUGCGAAAGCGUGGGGAGCAAACAGGAUUAGAUACCCCGGUAGUCCCUGUCUCUUAUAC
This 301-nucleotide ribosomal RNA is filed under the name uncultured bacterium. RNAcentral describes it as "partial 16S ribosomal RNA". It matches the Rfam family "Bacterial small subunit ribosomal RNA", at positions 509 to 807 of the family's 1533-position model. The record is from RNAcentral.